This 1278-nucleotide ribosomal RNA is filed under the name uncultured bacterium. Its description in RNAcentral is "bacterial SSU rRNA". It matches the Rfam family "Bacterial small subunit ribosomal RNA", at positions 84 to 1366 of the family's 1533-position model. The record is from RNAcentral.
CUUGUGACUGAGCGGCGGACGGGUGAGUAACGCGUGGGUAACCUGCCUCAUACAGGGGGAUAACAGUUAGAAAUGACUGCUAAUACCGCAUAAGACCACAGUACCGCAUGGUACAGUGGUAAAAACUCCGGUGGUAUGAGAUGGACCCGCGUCUGAUUAGGUAGUUGGUGGGGUAACGGCCCGCCAAGCCGACGAUCAGUAGCCGACCUGAGAGGGUGACCGGCCACGUUGGGACUGAGACACGGCCCAAACUCCUACGGGAGGCAGCAGUUGGGAAUAUUGCACAAUGGGCGAAAGCCUGACCGAGCAACGCCGCGUGAGGGAGGAAGUCAUUCGUGAUGUAAACCUCUGUUAUAAAGGAAGAAACGCCUGGAUAGGAAAUGAUACAGGCUUGACGGUACUUUAUGAGGAAGCCACGGCUAACUACGUGCCAGCAGCCGCGGUAAUACGUAGGUGGCGAGCGUUAUCCGGAAUCAUUGGGCGUAAAGAGGGAGCAGGCGGCAGCUAGGGUCUGCGGUGAAAGACCGAAGCUAAACUUCGGUAAGCCGUGGAAACCGAGCAGCUAGAGAGCAGCAGAGGAUCGUGGAAUUCCAUGUGUAGCGGUGAAAUGCGUAGAUAUAUGGAGGAACACCAGUGGCGAAGGCGACGAUCUGGGCUGCAACUGACGCUCAGUCCCGAAAGCGUGGGGAGCAAAUAGGAUUAGAUACCCUAGUAGUCCACGCCGUAAACGAUGAGUACUAAGUGUUGGGGGUCAAACCUCAGUGCUGCAGUUAACGCAAUAAGUACUCCGCCUGAGUAGUACGUUCGCAAGAAUGAAACUCAAAGGAAUUGACGGGGGCCCGCACAAGCGGUGGAGCAUGUGGUUUAAUUCGAAGCAACGCGAAGAACCUUACCAGGUCUUGACAUACCAAUAAAGGCCUCAGAGAUGAGGAGAUAGAUAUAAUGGAUACAGGUGGUGCAUGGUUAUCGUCAGCUCGUGUCGUGAGAUGUUGGGUUAAGUCCCGCAACGAGCGCAACCCUUGUCGCUAGUUACCAUCAUUAAGUUGGGGACUCUAGCGAGACUGCCUCUGCAAGGAGGAGGAGGGCGGGGAUGACGUCAAAUCAUCAUGCCCCUUAUGACCUGGGCUACACACGUGCUACAAUGGACGGAUCAGAGGGAAGCGAAGCUGCGAAGUGGAGCGAAACCCAAAAACCCGUUCUCAGUUCGGACUGCAGUCUGCAACUCGACUGCACGAAGUUGGAAUCGCUAGUAAUCGCGAAUCAGAAUGUCGCGGUGAA